AGAAGAAGAUGCAAGAAAUGGGUUACAAGGUUGGAGGUAGAGGGAGACUCGGAGAUUGUGGUGGGGUUCCUUAAGUCGGGAAUCACAAACUCACAUCCAUUCUCUUUCUUAAUACGUUUGUGCUAUGACUUUUUGUCGCGUGGCUGGAUAGUCCGCGUUUUUUCACGUGCAUAGAGAAACUAACCGCCUAACGGAUGUGUUAACUAACUAUGCUUUUUCUCUUCCCUUAGAUUUUUAUUUGUUCGAGGGUAGACCGGAUGUGGUUGUCUCUAUUGUCUUUGAUGAUGCGAACGGGUCUGCAUACCCACAUAAUGUUCGUAUUUGAUUUAGUU
This 332-nucleotide small RNA is filed under the name Arabidopsis thaliana (thale cress). Its description in RNAcentral is "ATSL176170". The record is from RNAcentral. Lineage: Eukaryota; Viridiplantae; Streptophyta; Magnoliopsida; Brassicales; Brassicaceae.